CCAAAGGCUCUUUUCAGAGCCAUCCACAUUUGCAUUUAAAGAGCUU
RNAcentral lists this non-coding RNA (46 nucleotides) under Marmota monax (woodchuck). It matches the Rfam family "Histone 3' UTR stem-loop". From Rfam's summary of the family: The mRNAs of metazoan histone genes lack a poly-A tail. Lineage: Eukaryota; Metazoa; Chordata; Mammalia; Rodentia; Sciuridae. The record is from RNAcentral.